GGUCGCGAUCAGCCGAGCAGGGUGAUCGGUCCGCCUGAAAAGCGGAAGGUCGGCAGUUCGAGCUUGCCCCUGACCACCA
Molecule: transfer RNA, 79 nt
Filed under: Nonomuraea mesophila
Lineage: Bacteria; Bacillati; Actinomycetota; Actinomycetes; Streptosporangiales; Streptosporangiaceae
Description: Nonomuraea sp. 6K102 tRNA-Ser
Source: RNAcentral